This is a long non-coding RNA of Macaca mulatta (Rhesus monkey), 1855 nucleotides long. The record is from Ensembl. Lineage: Eukaryota; Metazoa; Chordata; Mammalia; Primates; Cercopithecidae.
AUGCAUGUGCGUGUCUGUAUGUGCAUGUGUGUUUGUGUGUGUGCCUGUGUGUGUGCGUAUUUUCACAGGAAACUGAGUGGAAACUCCAUGGCAGGCAUGGUCCCUACUGGCUGGUCCACAGGGAAUGUGCAGCCACUGUUGAUAGAAAUACCCGCCAGAGCGAUGUUCCCAGGAGGCGUGAUAAUGCAGCAAUGGACAAGGACAGGAACAAGAGACAGUUUUACCAUCUUCCUACAAUUUGUAGAUGGGACAGUGGAAACAGAAGCCACAUUGGGGUUGGGCAUGCAGAGAUCUGGCCCUAAAUCGAUGUGAAUUUUGCCAAUUGCUUUUGCCUCACAGAGCUCUAGGUUCUUACCUGACAAACAGGAACCAGACCAUCAGAUCCAUAGAGAUUUAAUCAAUGGAGCCUUUGAAAACUUCACACGGCCUGUGUCAAUGCGAGGUUGCUGGAUGAUUAUGACAAGAAAUCACAUUGAAUUCACUGUGGUAACAUUGUGGUAACAUUGUUCAUGAAACGGGAUAAUGUGUUUCAGCGAUGAACCACCACGGUCUUACGACAGACAUAUUUCCACUUUGAAAAGGUGUGUGCGUGUAUGUGUCUGUGUGUGAUACAGUGAUUGGAAAGUAUAAAUGUGUGCGUUUUCAUUUUACACAUCUUACAUUUUCCUUUAAAUUGUGUGAAAGCCUGUUUUGUUUGUGACUUCCAUUCUUGGAGGUCCCAUGAGUUGUUAGUGGUGAAGAUGGAACAGAUGGAGACUCCUGCCCUCAGGGACUGACCACUGCAAACAUCCCUCUCUCAUCUGAUUCCACUGUUUCUUCCACAUGUACACAUCAUGAGAAAUAAUGUUCAAUCAAUAUAUUUCUUUAAAUCAACUCAUAUGCUUAUUUACAUGAAUUUACCUAAAACAGAAACUUGAUAUCACUUCUGUAAAUGAAAAAAUUAAACUUUCUGGCUAUAAAUAAAGUGUAACAAUAAUAAUCAUGCCAAAAAAUACCCCUCCAGUGUUAUGAAUUGAGGGUGUGGUGUGGGGGUGAAGACACUGCCUAACUCCUCCCCACUGUUGGGGAAUGAUAUCCAGCCUGUCACCCGCUGAUGGCAGGUUAUGUAGGAGAAGCAAAUCCAUUAAAAUAGAAGCACAGCUGCAUGCCCGUGAUUACUUCUCUAAUGUUAUUGUCUAGCUCUGCGCUUGAUCCUCCUCUGAUAAUACUCAAGAAAUAGAACAGCAAAGUUUGCUUGUUUUAAAUCUGGUAAUUAAUGUCUGUUUUGCUUACAUUAAUGGUUUCUCGUGGGAAGGAUGCAUGCAUUAUUAAAUGUUGCUUAAGGAAAAAAAGUCUUGUGUUGGUUAACAAUUUUUGACUACAAAUAAUAGAAAACGAUACGAAGGCUGGCUUCAGUAGAAAAGUAAUUUAUACUUCCCAUAAAUAAUAAGCCGGGGGUAGCAUGGCCAAUUUAUCCAGUAGUCUCAACAGCCACCAUGCCUGAGGCCCGUUGUACUAUUAAAAGGUUCAUGAAAAUAUUUUUAUUUUAAUUUAUUUUAAAAUUAGAAGAAAAAUCACUAUAAUAAUCUUUUAAUAGGGUGGGAAUCCACAGAGCAAAAGCUUCUGAGGCACCCAAAGUCAUAACAUAGCCCUGAGGGGUAGGCCUGCCUUCAGCCUUCAUUUGCUAUCAAGAACACACCAAACUCCUUUGACUUCCCCCUGCUCUCCCUUCUUUUUUAUAUCAUGCUGUUGACACUUAAAAAUAGGCUUUUCCUUCGCCUCCUACCAUCAUGUACUCUGUUCACCCCAUCUAGCUCCCUGCUCUCUUAUUUCCCCGUGCUCCAAGGCUGUGUGUGCAGCAGGAUCUCUGCCCUGG